RNAcentral lists this ribosomal RNA (838 nucleotides) under uncultured bacterium. RNAcentral's name for it is "bacterial SSU rRNA". It matches the Rfam family "Bacterial small subunit ribosomal RNA", at positions 62 to 895 of the family's 1533-position model. The record is from RNAcentral.
UCGAGCGGUAGAGAGAAGCUUGCUUCUCUUGAGAGCGGCGGACGGGUGAGUAAUGCCUAGGAAUCUGCCUGGUAGUGGGGGAUAACGUUCGGAAACGGACGCUAAUACCGCAUACGUCCUACGGGAGAAAGCAGGGGACCUUCGGGCCUUGCGCUAUCAGAUGAGCCUAGGUCGGAUUAGCUAGUUGGUGGGGUAAUGGCUCACCAAGGCGACGAUCCGUAACUGGUCUGAGAGGAUGAUCAGUCACACUGGAACUGAGACACGGUCCAGACUCCUACGGGAGGCAGCAGUGGGGAAUAUUGGACAAUGGGCGAAAGCCUGAUCCAGCCAUGCCGCGUGUGUGAAGAAGGUCUUCGGAUUGUAAAGCACUUUAAGUUGGGAGGAAGGGUUGUAGAUUAAUACACUGCAAUUUUGACGUUACCGACAGAAUAAGCACCGGCUAACUCUGUGCCAGCAGCCGCGGUAAUACAGAGGGUGCAAGCGUUAAUCGGAAUUACUGGGCGUAAAGCGCGCGUAGGUGGUUUGUUAAGUUGGAUGUGAAAUCCCCGGGCUCAACCUGGGAACUGCAUUCAAAACUGACUGACUAGAGUAUGGUAGAGGGUGGUGGAAUUUCCUGUGUAGCGGUGAAAUGCGUAGAUAUAGGAAGGAACACCAGUGGCGAAGGCGACCACCUGGACUAAUACUGACACUGAGGUGCGAAAGCGUGGGGAGCAAACAGGAUUAGAUACCCUGGUAGUCCACGCCGUANACGAUGUCAACUAGCCGUUGGAANCCUUGAGCUUUUAGUGGCGCAGCUAACGCAUUAAGUUGACCGCCUGGGGAGUACGGCCGCAAGGUU